Molecule: ribosomal RNA, 254 nt
Filed under: uncultured prokaryote
Description: partial 16S ribosomal RNA
Rfam family: Bacterial small subunit ribosomal RNA
Source: RNAcentral
UACGAAGGGGGCUAGCGUUGCUCGGAAUCACUGGGCGUAAAGCGCACGUAGGCGGAUUGUUAAGUCAGGGGUGAAAUCCUGGAGCUCAACUCCAGAACUGCCUUUGAUACUGGCGAUCUCGAGUCCGGGAGAGGUGAGUGGAACUGCGAGUGUAGAGGUGAAAUUCGUAGAUAUUCGCAAGAACACCAGUGGCGAAGGCGGCUCACUGGCCCGGUACUGACGCUGAGGUGCGAAAGCGUGGGUAGCAAACAGGA